CUACGGGGCGCUCCAGUGGGGAAUAUUGCACAAUGGAGGAAACUCUGAUGCAGCAACGCCGCGUGGAGGAUGACACUUUUCGGAGCGUAAACUCCUUUUAUAUAGGAAGAAGAUGACGGUACUAUAUGAAUAAGCGCCGGCUAACUCCGUGCCAGCAGCCGCGGUAAUACGGAGGGCGCAAGCGUUACUCGGAAUCACUGGGCGUAAAGAGCGUGUAGGCGGAUUAAAAAGUCAGAAGUGAAAUCCUAUAGCUUAACUAUAGAACUGCUUCUGAAACUCUUAAUCUAGAAUAUGGGAGAGGUAGAUGGAAUUUCUGAUGUAGGGGUAAAAUCCGUAGAGAUCAGAAGGAAUACCGAUUGCGAAGGCGAUUUACUAGAACAUUAUUGACGCUGAGACGCGAAAGCGUGGGGAGCAAACAGGAUUAGAUACCCGCGUAGUC
RNAcentral lists this ribosomal RNA (439 nucleotides) under uncultured bacterium. Its description in RNAcentral is "partial 16S ribosomal RNA". It matches the Rfam family "Bacterial small subunit ribosomal RNA", at positions 339 to 795 of the family's 1533-position model. The record is from RNAcentral.